GGGUAGUUUGACUGGGGCGGUCUCCUCCUAAAGAGUAACGGAGGAGCACGAAGGUUGGCUAAUCCUGGUCGGACAUCAGGAGGUUAGUGCAAUGGCAUAAGCCAGCUUGACUGCGAGCGUGACGGCGCGAGCAGGUGCGAAAGCAGGUCAUAGUGAUCCGGUGGUUCUGAAUGGAAGGGCCAUCGCUCAACGGAUAAAAGGUACUCCGGGGAUAACAGGCUGAUACCGCCCAAGAGUUCAUAUCGACGGCGGUGUUUGGCACCUCGAUGUCGGCUCAUCACAUCCUGGGGCUGAAGUAGGUCCCAAGGGUAUGGCUGUUCGCCAUUUAAAGUGGUACGCGAGCUGGGUUUAGAACGUCGUGAGACAGUUCGGUCCCUAUCUGCCGUGGGCGCUGGAGAACUGAGGGGGGCUGCUCCUAGUACGAGAGGACCGGAGUGGACGCAUCACUGGUGUUCGGGUUGUCAUGCCAAUGGCACUGCCCGGUAGCUAAAUGCGGAAGAGAUAAGUGCUGAAAGCAUCUAAGCACGAAACUUGCCCCGAGAUGAGUUCUCCCUGACUCCUUGAGAGUCCUGAAGGAACGUUGAAGACGACGACGUUGAUAGGCCGGGUGUGUAAGCGCAGCGAUGCGUUGAGCUAACCGGUACUAAUGAACCGUGAGGCUUAACCUUACAACGCCGAAGGUGUUU
Molecule: ribosomal RNA, 686 nt
Filed under: Escherichia coli
Lineage: Bacteria; Pseudomonadati; Pseudomonadota; Gammaproteobacteria; Enterobacterales; Enterobacteriaceae
Description: partial 23S ribosomal RNA
Rfam family: Bacterial large subunit ribosomal RNA
Source: RNAcentral